Long non-coding RNA from Triticum aestivum (bread wheat), 3596 nucleotides. RefSeq lists it as uncharacterized. The record is from RefSeq and is a predicted model, not a curated record. The transcript has 2 exons. NCBI's taxonomy places the organism in Eukaryota, Viridiplantae, Streptophyta, Magnoliopsida, Poales, Poaceae.
UAUACGCAGAAGGAAAAAACACAUCUCAAACUCCUCUACGCAACCCAUUGGCACUUUGUCGAGCGAGCCUAUCGCCGCCUUUCCUCUUCCCCCGCUUCUACAUGUCUCCUCUCCUCUAUCAUUUUCCUGUCGUGGACUUGAAGAAGGUUCAUCGUGCUGCAAUCGAUCUGGAAGAAAAUGACCCAUAUCCUCCCUGAUCUGGAAGGUUCAUCGUCGUCUCCAGUCAAGGAAGCACGGAUCUCACGGUAGCUGCGUAAUUAGGCAAGUAAUCGUGUAAACAUCAAAUCCCAUGUUUUCUAUCAUGUUGAUUUCAUCACAGAACCCCCACUAAAUCCACUUCGUGCAUACUGUCAUCAAGAAGUUUUGGUUGUGUACAUGUAUUUUUGGACUGCUCUUGAGUAGAGUAUGCCUUCUAGGGAGUAAAGGAGGAUAAGCUUGGAUGGUCUACAUCAAAUUCAAUGGUACACUGCACCCAACGUGUGUUCUCUACGUCUUCAAAUCAUCCAACGGCUAACCAGUUCACUUUGAAGUUGAUAGGAAGCUUUGCAAAAUAUUAUUACUCUGGAGAAGAUAUAGAUGUUGUCCAAAUAUCAGAUUAUCUGCAUGGUAAAACUAAUAGCUCUUUCUUCCGGUAUUAAGACAAGGUAUGAUGUCUGGACCAUGAAUAUUUUUCCAUAUAUAUUCAUUUAACCUAUAAGAUUGACCAACUUCCGAGAUUUCUCUCAAUUCAGGCUGUUAAACUGUACAUUUUUGGCAGAUUUGUACUAAGAAUUUAACAUUGUUGCUCAUGCACAAUUUCCUGUGGUAACUAUGGAAUCCAUAUUUCCUUGGUCUGUUUUAAUAAUAUGUAUGAUAUUUCCUUUGUAGUUCCAUAAUUAAGAUUUUACAGUUGUGACUUAUAAAAAAUAUGAUACGUUAGACAUUUUCAACCAGGAAUACCAGAGAGCCCCUUUGGCGAUUCUAAUAUUUAUGGCAAUGGGGUUGUGUAAUUGAUAAUGAUCCAGAUUAGUAUCAGCUAAAUCUGCUUUCACGAAAUUAGUAGAUCUAUGUGUUCCAUUUUACGCAGCAAAAUAGUGUAUACGCAUGCCACUAAAUCUAUUUCAUCAUCGAACAAUACUCUACAAAAGCUCCCAAUAAAUUUUUGUGCGCAAACUUACAACUAAUCUAAUAUUUCUGUACAGAUCGCAAAUAGGAUUUAUAGUCUUUAUCUUGAACUAAUAAAUGAUUUUAGUUACCACCAAGUCAUGUAUGGUCACAUUAUUGAUCAUACUGAAACUGAUUCUCCUUUGUACCUCAUCCAGUGGCUACAAAAAGUACAAAUAGAUCACUGCAAAUCAGAGGGAGUGAUAUCUUCCCUCAAACUUUUCAAUUUUGUCAUUCACCACUUCUGUCCCAACUAAAUAGACAACUCAGUCAGUCUAAAUCCUUUGCUUCAUUUUCCAACAAUUUGGCUUUACCUGUAAUGCUUCAUCUAUAAAAGGUCAUGAGCAGAUGUUUCGUGUUGUUCCCUGGACAUGAGUUCUGAAAAGCUUGAUUUCCAUUUUUUGGAUUUCACAGCCUGGACAAAGCAAUGAUUUUCCAAAUUGGUUUUAAGUUGUGUUCUUUCAAUGAAAUUGAGUUUUUUUUUCGAAAAGGGGGAAUUCCCCGGCCUCUGCAUCAGAAAGAUGCAUACGGCCAUCUUAUUAACCAAAAAAGCAGUGCCAACAUGGUUCCAAGGUCUCCAAAAGUAAUAAAAAGCAAAGAAAGCUCACACAGAGCCAAAAAGGGCUAGAAACAUCCACUAGCCAAGAGAAGACGCCACAACCGGCUGGCUAAAACUAGGUAGGUAAACUACAUGCCUAUCCUAUUACAUGACCGCCAUCCAAACCGGUUGAAGAUAUCUCGAGCUACCAUCUCCCAUCGGAAAGACCCAGUAACCAAAUGCUCCCUGGCCUCCGUCUGGGUGAGUAGCGACCAUGUACGGAUCGUAGCCGUAGUUCGGAAUAAAACCUGCAAAAAAUGGAUACAUGAUAUUCUGUUAAAAACCAAAUCAUUUCUGCAAGUCCAGAUAGUCCACAUCAAAGCACAAACUCCAACCCGAAUGUGUCUCGCUAAGUUAGGCUCAAUCCCAUUAAGCCAUGUCCCAAAUAACGCGUUAACAGAAUUCGGUGGAUCGAUAUUAAAAGUAAUGUGGACCGUCUGCCAAAGUACUUUGGCCAACGGGCAAUCAAAGAAGAGGUGUUUGAUUUUCUCAUCCCGAUCACAGAAACUACACCUAGUAGGUCCUGUCCAAUUACGCUUUAUCAAGUUGUCCUUUGUUAAAAUAACUUGUUUAUGGACAAACCACAUAAACACUUUUAUUUUCAAAGGAACUUUGACCGCCCAAACAUGCUUAGAGGUAGGAAUGGAGUUCGAAUUAAUAACAUCAAUAUACAUUGAUUUAACAGUGAAUACUCCAAACUUAGUCAAUUUCCAGCGUAAUUCAUCGGGUUGUUGAGAUAGUUGGACCUCCAUCAGUCUCCUAACUAAACGGAGCCAGUCUUCCCAACGAUUGCCCGCUAGCGUCCGUCGAAACUGAAUAUUAAGGGGGAUAGAUUGAAAUACCGAAGCAACGAACACUUCACGUCGUUGAACAAUACGGUAUAAAGAUGGAUAUUGGAUGGCCAAAGGUGUCUCGCCGAGCCAAGUAUCCUCCCAGAAACGUGUACUAGAGCCUUAGGGUGCGCCUUACGCUUCAGUAGGAAUGAUUGGUUAUAUUGUGUCAAUCUUGCAGUACAGAUGGCGUUGUGGUGGACGAAGGGGUGAGAAUUGAUGGGACUUAAUGGUCAGUUAUUGUACUAAUUUUUGAACGGAAUUUCUAGAAAGUGAACCUUUCCCCUCAGCCUUCCGAGUGUGACACAGUAUUUACCAUCUGAUUUUGGCUUGCAUCCGCGUGCACAUCGUCACAAUUGAUGUGUGACAUCAGUACAACAACCUGAAAACGCCCUGUAGUGCGGUGUCCACUUUUGAAAUCUCGAUUUUCCCCAUGGGUUUGUUUCAUGUUAUUAAGUAAUAUCUCUCUCUUCUCAUUAAAAAAACAUAUUCAAGCCAUGUUUGAUGAGCACGAUGAGAAUUUUAAAGGUGUACUACAGUUGGAGCAAAUUUAUUGGUUCCUGCAAGCAGAACGGCUUACCUUUUUCUGUUUUAUGGGAAUUACUACCCCCCUCAACCAUCUCAUGUAAAAAGUACACAAAUAUGCAUUGGUAGAUACCAGUUUGAAAUGUGCAGAUCAAGUCACACUUCAAGUUAAGCUGUACAUGUGAUUUUCGUAUCUCCCUACUAAGAUAUGCAUCUGAACCUUUACUGAUAUUUUGAUAGUACAAUGACAAUUGGUCUCCUGUGAAGCAAAUAAGUUAUUUUCUUAUGGCACGUCAUGUCUUCAGCAAAUAUAUCAGAUAUAGAUUCGGUGUAAGUUAACCUUUUUGUAGUAUAAUAUUUUAUAUAUAUGGUUGGAUUUUCCUGGAGUUGCUAUAGAAUACUGUAAAGAUAACUUGAUGUUACUAUAGGGUGCACUAGGCCAGUAGCAAAGUUGUUCGUUUGUAACUACUUACUUGUAUGUUAGUCUUAAUAUUUAGUUU